AGAGCUUCUCGGCCUUAUGGCUAAGAUCAAAGUGUAGUAGGUAUCUGUUCUUCUCAGCUUAAUAUACUGGUCCGUCAGUGGGGGGACUUUCAGAUAUUAAGGUGGAUGCUCACACUUGUGGCACGCUUGUCCCCCUAAACACAUUUUUACAGUGCUUUUUCUUUGUUUAGGGGGUUAAUA
Operophtera brumata (winter moth) is the source of this 180-nucleotide small nuclear RNA. It matches the Rfam family "U2 spliceosomal RNA". From Rfam's summary of the family: U2 is a small nuclear RNA (snRNA) component of the spliceosome (involved in pre-mRNA splicing). Complementary binding between U2 snRNA (in an area lying towards the 5' end but 3' to hairpin I) and the branchpoint sequence (BPS) of the intron results the bulging out of an unpaired adenosine, on the BPS, which initiates a nucleophilic attack at the intronic 5' splice site, thus starting the first of two transesterification reactions that mediate splicing. The record is from Rfam. NCBI's taxonomy places the organism in Eukaryota, Metazoa, Arthropoda, Insecta, Lepidoptera, Geometridae.